RNAcentral lists this ribosomal RNA (333 nucleotides) under uncultured Acidobacteriota bacterium. Its description in RNAcentral is "bacterial SSU rRNA". It matches the Rfam family "Bacterial small subunit ribosomal RNA", at positions 568 to 898 of the family's 1533-position model. The record is from RNAcentral. Lineage: Bacteria; Pseudomonadati; Acidobacteriota.
CGCGUAGGCGGCCCUACAAGUCACUUGUGAAAUCUCCGGGCUUAACUCGGAACGGCCAAGUGAAACUGUAGAGCUAGAGUGUGGAAGGGGCAAUCGGAAUUCUUGGUGUAGCGGUGAAAUGCGUAGAUAUCAAGAGGAACACCUGAGGUGAAGACGGGUUGCUGGGCCAACACUGACGCUGAGGCGCGAAAGCCAGGGGAGCAAACGGGAUUAGAUACCCCGGUAGUCCUGGCCCUAAACGAUGAAUACUUGGUGUCUGGAGUCAUUAAUGCUCCGGGUGCCGUCGCUAACGUUUUUAGUAUUCCGCCUGGGGAGUACGCUCGCAAGAGUGAA